AUGAAGAACGUAGCGAAAUGCGAUAAGUAAUGUGAAUUGCAGAAUUCAGUGAAUCAUCGAAUCUUUGAACGCACAUUGCGCCCCUUGGUAUUCCGAGGGGCAUGCCUGUUCGAGCGUCAUUUUAACCCCUCAAGCUCAGCUUGGUGUUGGGGCCUGCUGCACUGGCAGCCCUUAAAAUCAGUGGCGGCGCCAUCUGGCUCUAAGCGUAGUAAUUCUUCUCGCUAUGGAGUCCUGGUGGAUGCUUGCCAUCAACCCCCAAUUUUUCUAUGGUUGACCUCGGAUCAGGUAGGGAUACCCGCUGAACUUAAGCAUAUCAAAAGCGGAGGA
Molecule: unclassified non-coding RNA, 327 nt
Filed under: soil metagenome
Description: partial contains 5.8S ribosomal RNA, internal transcribed spacer 2, and large subunit ribosomal RNA
Rfam family: 5.8S ribosomal RNA (bases 1-119)
Source: RNAcentral